CUCCUCUCCUCUCCUCUCAUUCAAAAGGGUCUUGUCUCCUCUGCUCUCCUCUCAUUCAAAAGGGUCCCUGAGCUCCGAUCGCCUCUCCAUCUCGCUCCCGAGCUCCGAUCGGCGUCUCCGAGCUCCGAUCGCCUCCCCAUCUCGCUUCCCGAGCUCCGAUCAUUGUCCCUGAGCACCCAUGUCGCGCGAUCCGUGAGCCCGAGUCCCACGACCCGGCCGGCCGGAACUGCCGGAUUGCCCGAGCCGCAUCGACCAUGGCCCGCACCGUCCGCCGCAGCCCGUCUUGAGAUCCCACGCUGCUGCCCCUGCUCCGCCGCCGACCUCGCCUCCCUAGCCCGCGACAACCUCCACUACCACCAAGCUCAUCAUCAAGGAGGACGGCGUGGGGCACCUCCUCCGCCUCGUCAAGGAGGGCCGGGCCGACGGUUAGGAGAACGCUGCCCGCGCCCUCGAAGGGGAAGGCGAUGGGGGUCCGAUGGCUGCCUACGACCUCGCCCAACGACUCCUCCCCGGCCAAGCUCCGACAGAUCAUACAAUCCGCCGCAGGCUGGUGGCGGUCGCCAUGUUUGCCCUCUGUGUCGCCUUUGGAGGGUUCUUGCUGGCGGGCGCUCAGUCGACGCUUAUAUUCCAGAUGAUGAUUCUGAUUGCCAAUUUCACAGUCUUCUUCCUUGGCCUGCUGGUGAUCUACUUCUUUAUGCCAAUCUCCUCCGGGAUACCAGGGCUGCCGAUCUCCGCCGAUAGAUUGAUCUCGGUGACCCUAGCCGUAUCCGUAGGCACCAUGUUCCUUGAUUCCACUUGUCUCAUUCUGGUGGCCGGCUAAUCGAUUUGGACCUAUAGAUGAUACUCAAGGAACGCCUUAAUCCCUGUAGUCCGCUGGUUCUGCUUCUUUCUGUUUUAAAUAAUCAAGAGCUUUUUUUUGCUAGGAAUAAUCAAGAGCUUUUCUCUGUUCUGUGUUACUAAUGUUUUACGAGUGUUUUACGAGUAUUGCAGGUAGGGAUUCAAGCUUCUGCGAUUGUUUCAGUUGGAAAACAGAUUGGGGAUGAAAUAGUUGUUGUUAUUGAGGAAGCUCAUCCCCGUGUGAUGUCCUCUUUAUUAAGGAAAUAUAAAGGAGUUUGGAAGGUCUUGUAGACGAUGACAUUGCUGCAUUAUCCUUGAGCCCGGCCCCAGUGUUAUCAUCGGAGCUUGACAAAUUCGUGUAGUCCAUAAUAUUUGCCCAAUUGAUCCAGUUUAUGUGAGUGUUACUAAUUUCAGUCAUCUCACAUGAGCAAGAUAUCCAACGAGCACUUUGUACGAAUCUUGCUCCUAACAAUGCCACUGAUGACUGUUCCAAAACUGAAGCUAUACAAUUUAUAAGACUGCUACUUUUUUCGCCUUCUGGAUUUGCUAGAAGAUGCUGCCAAAGCUUUGAGAAUUUGGUGGUUGUGCUCCGCUGCCUUGAGCUCAUGUUCUGCAUCAGGGAAUAUACCAUCUAUUCAGGGAUGCGGUUGAAGUGUUUUCAAUGGAAAUGAACAGGAUAACUGUUGAGCUGCUUGCCAAUCUUUCUUUGCUAAUGAACAUGGAUAAAGAUGGGCUUUUAAGACUGCAUGGGGCUUUAAAACAAGCUAUGCGUAUGAACUACUAUCCAACUUGCUGCAGACCUGAUCUAGUUCUGGGUGUGAGUCCACAUUCAGAUGGCAGCUCUAUCACCAUACUCUUGCAAGAUGACAAUAUAACUGGCCUCCAAAUUAAGCACAAGGGGGAAUGGUUUCCUGUAAAACCAAUUCCAAAAGCUCUAGUGGUGAAUAUUGGAGAUGCUAUUGAGGUAUUCAGAAUCUAACUAGCAAAUUUUCUAUUUCCGGAACCCCAAAAAACAUAAUAUUAAGCAUCAACAAUUAGCUUUUUCCUGCAUGUCGGUCCUCCUCUACAUAAAUUGUACCUUGCCAGCGUCAUAUCUGAACCAUUUAUUUUAGUUUUUAUUCUCGGUCGAGUAAAUUGUACCUUGCCAGCGUCAUAUCUGAACCAUUCUUUGGAAGCUAGCAGUGUGGAUUUGUGAUGUUUAUCAUUUUCUUGAAGCAUGAAUUGGAAAGAUGAUGAAAAUUUGUGGGAA
Molecule: non-coding RNA, 2086 nt
Organism: Phoenix dactylifera (date palm)
Lineage: Eukaryota; Viridiplantae; Streptophyta; Magnoliopsida; Arecales; Arecaceae
Source: RefSeq, a predicted model, not a curated record